This 273-nucleotide ribosomal RNA is filed under the name Salmonella enterica subsp. enterica serovar Anatum. RNAcentral describes it as "partial 23S ribosomal RNA". It matches the Rfam family "Bacterial large subunit ribosomal RNA", at positions 1556 to 1810 of the family's 2925-position model. Lineage: Bacteria; Pseudomonadati; Pseudomonadota; Gammaproteobacteria; Enterobacterales; Enterobacteriaceae. The record is from RNAcentral.
CUGAGGCGUGACGACGAGGCACUACGGUGCUGAAGCAACAAAUGCCCUGCUUCCAGGAAAAGCCUCUAAGCAUCAGGUAACAUCAAAUCGUACCCCAAACCGACACAGGUGGUCAGGUAGAGAAUACCAAGGCGCUUGAGAGAACUCGGGUGAAGGAACUAGGCAAAAUGGUGCCGUAACUUCGGGAGAAGGCACGCUGACACGUAGGUGAAGUGAUUUACUCAUGGAGCUGAAGUCAGUCGAAGAUACCAGCUGGCUGCAACUGUUUAUUAA